GACGAACGCUGGCGGCGUGCCUAAUACAUGCAAGUUGAGCGCUGAAGGUUGGUACUUGUACCAACUGGAUGAGCAGCGAACGGGUGAGUAACGCGUGGGGAAUCUGCCUUUGAGCGGGGGACAACAUUUGGAAACGAAUGCUAAUACCGCAUAAAAACUUUAAACACAAGUUUUAAGUUUGAAAGAUGCAAUUGCAUCACUCAAAGAUGAUCCCGCGUUGUAUUAGCUAGUUGGUGAGGUAAAGGCUCACCAAGGCGAUGAUACAUAGCCGACCUGAGAGGGUGAUCGACCACAUUGGGACUGAGACACGGCCCAAACUCCUACGGGAGGCAGCAGUAGGGAAUCUUCGGCAAUGGACGAAAGUCUGACCGAGCAACGCCGCGUGAGUGAAGAAGGUUUUCGGAUCGUAAAACUCUGUUGGUAGAGAAGAACGUUGGUGAGAGUGGAAAUCUCAUCAAGUGACGGUAACUACCCAGAAAGGGACGGCUAACUACGUG
This 497-nucleotide ribosomal RNA is filed under the name uncultured bacterium. RNAcentral's name for it is "partial 16S ribosomal RNA". It matches the Rfam family "Bacterial small subunit ribosomal RNA", at positions 28 to 507 of the family's 1533-position model. The record is from RNAcentral.